GGGGGCGACGUAGGCUUCGACGGGGGUUACAAAACCUAAAGUGCAUGUCGAGGAGCAGAGCACCUCGUAAAUCCAACUGCAAACUCAUAGUUGCCAACGACGACAACUACGCACUCGCUGCUUAAUACCCAGUAGGGUGCCGUCUGACUGGAGCCGUGCCUGUGCGUCCAGCUUUUUCAGGCGUCAUAUCUCAUAGGAUCGCGUGGAAGCUCGUCCGGGGCGGAGACGUUAAAACCUUACCGGAAUCGCUUGCCGCACGCCCUGUCCGUCGGGUGGCGGCCGGUUAAAAACAAUAGGCAGGACUAAACAUGUAGAACUCUGGGCAGAGGACUCACGGACGGCGGUUCGAAUCCGCCCGCCUCCACCA
This 367-nucleotide transfer-messenger RNA is filed under the name Candidatus Thiodiazotropha sp. (ex Dulcina madagascariensis). It matches the Rfam family "transfer-messenger RNA". Rfam says of the family: Bacterial tmRNA, also known as 10Sa RNA or SsrA, is named for its dual tRNA and mRNA-like properties. Lineage: Bacteria; Pseudomonadati; Pseudomonadota; Gammaproteobacteria; Chromatiales; Sedimenticolaceae. The record is from RNAcentral.